RNAcentral lists this ribosomal RNA (460 nucleotides) under uncultured bacterium. RNAcentral describes it as "partial 16S ribosomal RNA". It matches the Rfam family "Bacterial small subunit ribosomal RNA", at positions 338 to 795 of the family's 1533-position model. The record is from RNAcentral.
CCUACGGGGGGCAGCAGUGAGGAAUAUUGGUCAAUGGGCGCUAGCCUGAACCAGCCAAGUAGCGUGAAGGAUGACUGCCCUAUGGGUUGUAAGCUUCUUUUAUAUGGGAAUAAAGUGCAGUAUGUAUACCUCUUUGCAUGUACCUUAUGAAUAAGGAUCGGCUAACUCCGUGCCAGCAGCCGCGGUAAUACGGAGGAUUCGAGCGUUAUCCGGAUUUAUUGGGUUUAAAGGGAGCGUAGGCGGGUUGUUAAGUCAGUGGUGAAAGUUUGCGGCUCAACCGUAAAAUUGCAGUUGAUACUGGCAGCCUUGAGUACAGUAGAGGUAGGCGGAAUUCGUGGUGUAGCGGUGAAAUGCUUAGAUAUCACGAAGAACUCCGAUUGCGAAGGCAGCCUACUAAACUGUAACUGACGCUGAUGCUCGAAAGUGUGGGUAGCAAACAGGAUUAGAUACCCCUGUAGUC